Molecule: ribosomal RNA, 429 nt
Filed under: Gemmatimonadota bacterium
Lineage: Bacteria; Pseudomonadati; Gemmatimonadota
Description: Gemmatimonadetes bacterium partial 16S ribosomal RNA
Rfam family: Bacterial small subunit ribosomal RNA
Source: RNAcentral
UAGGGAAUCUUCGGCAAUGGACGAAAGUCUGACCGAGCAACGCCGCGUGAGUGAAGAAGGGUUUCGGAUCGUAAAACUCUGUUGUUAGAGAAGAACAAGGACGUUAGUAACUGAACGUCCCCUGACGGUAUCUAACCAGAAAGCCACGGCUAACUACGUGCCAGCAGCCGCGGUAAUACGUAGGUGGCAAGCGUUGUCCGGAUUUAUUGGGCGGAAAGCGAGCGCAGGCGGUUUCUUAAGUCUGAUGUGAAAGCCCCCGGCUCAACCGGGGAGGGUCAUUGGAACCUGGGAGACGUGAGUGCAGAAGGGGGGGGUGGAAUUCCAUGUGUAGCGGUGAAAUGCGUAGAUAUAUGGAGGAACACCAGUGGCGAAGGCGGCUCUCUGGUCUGUAACUGCCGCUGAGGCUCGAAAGCGUGGGGAGCAAACAGG